GAUGAACGCUGGCGGCGUGCCUAAUACAUGCAAGUCGAGCGAACAGACGAGGAGCUUGCUCCUCUGACGUUAGCGGCGGACGGGUGAGUAACACGUGGAUAACCUACCUAUAAGACUGGGAUAACUUCGGGAAACCGGAGCUAAUACCGGAUAAUAUAUUGAACCGCAUGGUUCAAUAGUGAAAGACGGUUUUGCUGUCACUUAUAGAUGGAUCCGCGCCGCAUUAGCUAGUUGGUAAGGUAACGGCUUACCAAGGCAACGAUGCGUAGCCGACCUGAGAGGGUGGUCGGCCACACUGGAAGUGAGAAACGGUCCAGACUCCUAGGGGAGGCAGCAGUAGGGAAUCUUCCGCAAUGGGCGAAAGCGUGACGGAGCAACGCCGCGUGAGUGAUGAAGGUCUUCGGAUCGUAGAACUCUGUUAUUAGGAGAGAACAAAUGUGUAAGUAACUAUGCACGUCUUGACGGUACCUAAUCAGAAAGCCACGGCUAACUACGUG
This 497-nucleotide ribosomal RNA is filed under the name uncultured bacterium. RNAcentral describes it as "partial 16S ribosomal RNA". It matches the Rfam family "Bacterial small subunit ribosomal RNA", at positions 28 to 507 of the family's 1533-position model. The record is from RNAcentral.